Long non-coding RNA from Cryptomeria japonica (Japanese cedar), 1195 nucleotides. RefSeq lists it as uncharacterized. The record is from RefSeq and is a predicted model, not a curated record. Lineage: Eukaryota; Viridiplantae; Streptophyta; Pinopsida; Cupressales; Cupressaceae. The transcript is spliced from 5 exons.
UAAGAUUAUAACCCUCGGCAUAUGUCAGACAUUUGUUUUUGUCUUCUGCCCAUGCUUUGUUCGUCUUUUGGUUAUUUCUUUCAUUAUUUAUUUUUUCUCAGCAUAGUGCUUGUUCAAUGAUUUGUUCUUUUUUCUCAGCAUAGUGCUUGUUCAAUGAUUUGUUCUGCAUUUUUGUUUUUUGUUUUUUGUGAUUUUUUCAUUUUCUUGUAAGAGUUUGUUUCUUUUUCCUGUAAGAAUUUGUCAACAGUGUGCACACUGGUCUGUCUGUGAUUUGAUCUGUUAUUUAUUUAUUUUUCACAUUUGUGUUUGUCCGUGAUUGUUAUCUAUGUUUUUUUUUAACAUUUUAUGUGGUGGAGGUUGAAGAGGCAAAGCAGAGGAACAGGUAGGGAUCAGGAAAUAGCAGCUGAAUGAGGGAAAAUUGUUCUUCUAGUCGUUCAUGCCACUGAAUGGAUUCAUUGGUGGGUCCAUUUCUCAAAGGAGACCUUGCUAAGAACUUCAUGACUCCUUCGGAACCUACUCAGAGGCAACUGACUACCGAGGAUCACUGAGCUGCAUCAUCACCAUAGGUCAUAUAUCUUAUGGAGACUAUUGUUGCAGAAUAGUACAGUAGUUUUUGUCGAUAUUUCUUGCUGCAAAUGCAAGAAUAAAGUUAUGAAGAUUGCUGCAGAUAUCCCAGGUUGCUUCCAGUGCACUAGGCCUGGGGCCUCACCAUGCUAUGCAAAUAACUGAGUGAUUAUACACACGAGGCUACAUAAGGAUGGCAGACAGCAAGCUCACAGCCCUUCUCUGCAUGUUGCAGCUAAAAAACUCCAGUUUGAUAAAAAUGGUCCUAAAGCGGGUUGCUCAACUUUUUGAAUUAGUUGUUUAUUCAACAUGAUGUAUAAAUAGCAAGGGAUGGGAUUAGGCUUGCACCAUUUUUUGAGUUAUAUUUUGAUCAAGCAUUGCCUUGGUAGCAUUGUAACAUGGACAAAUAUAGUGUUUAAUAAAAGAAAUUAUUGGAAGGGGUUUUUAACCCCCCUUCUAAAGACUGAAAGGAAUAAUCACUGGCCAUGGUUAUUCCUUGAGGUUAUGUGUUCUGACAACUUAAAGAAUGGUUGAUAGGCCAAAAACCAUUCUUUGAGGUUUGUGUCUUGUUUUCUUUUCUUCUUUUUUGAUUAGAUUAAUUUUUAUAUAAUAAUUUAUUAAUUUUGAUUUC